RNAcentral lists this ribosomal RNA (249 nucleotides) under uncultured Erysipelothrix sp. RNAcentral describes it as "partial 16S ribosomal RNA". It matches the Rfam family "Bacterial small subunit ribosomal RNA", at positions 94 to 339 of the family's 1533-position model. Lineage: Bacteria; Bacillati; Bacillota; Erysipelotrichia; Erysipelotrichales; Erysipelotrichaceae. The record is from RNAcentral.
AGUGGCGAACGGGUGAGUAAUACAUAAGCAACCUGCCUUAAUGCCUGGGAUAACAGUUGGAAACGAUUGCUAAUACCGGAUAAUUUCUUGAUAGACAUCUAUUAAGAAUAAAAGUUGGGAUACAACACAUUGAGAUGGGCUUAUGGCGCAUUAGUUAGUUGGUGAGGUAACGGCUCACCAAGACGAUGAUGCGUAGCCGACCUGAGAGGGUGACCGGCCACACUGGGACUGAGACACGGCCCAGACUCC